CCCGGACCACGUGUCUGCCCUCCCAGCCGGAGCGCCCACUCGCAGCACAGACACUUCCGCCCGGACCACGUGUCUUCCCUCCCAGUGUGAGCUGCGGCUCACAGCACAGACACUUCCGCCAGGAUCACGUGUCUGCCCUCCCAGCGAGAGCUCCUGCUCGCAGCACGGACACUUCCGCCCAGACCACGUGUCUCCCCUCCCAGCGCUAGCUCCUCCUCGCAGCACGGACACUUCCGCCCUGAUCACGUGUCUCCCCUCCCAGUGCGAGCUCCUGCUGCAGCAUGGACACUUCCGCCUGGACCACGUGUCUGCGCUCCCAGCCGCGAGCGCUCGCAGCAUGGACACUUCCGCCCAGAUCACCUGUCUCCGCUCCCAGCGCGAGCUCCCGCUCGCUGCACGGACACUUCCGCCCGGACCACGUGUCUGCCCUCCCAGCGCCAGCUCCUGCUCGCUGCAAGGACACUUCCGCCCGGGCCACGUGUCUACCUUCCAAGCACGAGCGCUCCUGCUGGCGGACACUUCUGCCCGGAGCCACGUGUCCGCCCUCCCAGCACUAGCGCUCCUGCUUGCAGCAGGGACACUUCCACCGGACCAUGUGUCUGCCCUCCCAGCGUGAGCUCCUGCUCGCAGCAGGGACACUUCCACCCGGACCACGUGUCUGCCCUCCCAGCGGGAGCUCCUGCUGGCAGCACGGACACUUCCGCCCGGAUCACGUGUCUCCCCUCCCAGCGCCAGCUCCGCCUCGCAGCACGGACACUUCCGCCCUGAUCACGUGUCUCCCCUCCCAGUGCGAGUUCCUGCUUGCAGCACGGACACUUCUGCACUGGCUUCACUUUCCCUCCAUAUCACACCACACCUGUCUUCCCAUUUUGCUAUAAAGGCUUAGGAUAAUUGUUUUUAAUGGUUGCCAGAGCAUUUCUUCUAUGGAAAUAUCAUUAUGUAUUUAACUUCGUAUGAGGUAUUUGGGUCACUUACAAUUUCUAUUAAAUUAUGCCCCGAUGCAUAUUUUUGGGUGCAUAGCUUUUUCCAUAAUUAGAAUUGGAAGGAUAGAUUCUCAUGAAUGUGAUUGCUGGAUGAAAGGAGUGAAGACAUUGGCAAUUCCAGAUGCGCAGCGUCCCACGGCUUUCCAAAAGCACCUUGGCACUCCCAGCUCAGCCACCCUAGGCAGCAGCUAUUUCACUUAAUUGGAUAAAUGAAGAAAUGGGACCCUACAGUCUUUUUUUUUUUUUUUUUUGAGACCGAGUCUCGCUCUGUCGCCUAGGCUGGAGGGCAGUGGCACAGUCUCGGCUCACUGCAAGCCCCGUCUCCUGGGUUCACGCCAUUGUCCUGCCUCAGCCUCCCGAGUAGCUGGGACCACAAGCGCCCGCCACCGCACCCAGCUAAUUUUUUGUAUUUUUAGUAGAGACGGGGUUUCAUCAUGUUAGCCAGGAUGGUCUCGAUCUCCUGACAUCGGGAUCUGCCUGCCUCGGCCUCCCAAAGUGCUGGGAUUACAGGCGUGAGCCACCACGCCCAGCGGGACCCUACAGUCUUUAAUUCAUAUUUCCUCAUCACUAGAAGGGCUGGAUAGUUCCCACUCUAUUUGCUUAUUAGUUGUAUUAAUUCUUUUUUAUAAAAUGUGGAUAUUUUGCCUGUUUGUUUGGGAGUUAAUGCUUUUUGUUUUUUGGAAUCAUGGUCUCUCUCUGUUGUCCGGGCUGGAGUGCAGUGGUACAAUCACAGCUCCCUGAAGCCUCAAUUUCUGAGCUCACGUGAGCCUCCUUGCCUCAGCCUCUAUCAUCAGAGCAGGCUGCUCGGUUAUGGACUCAGAGUGCUGAGAUUAUAGGCGUGAGCCACCGUGCCCAACUCUUAAUGCUUUUGUUCUCAUUUUGUGUCAGCUUUAUGUAACAAAGAUCUCACACUGUCAUCCUUAUUGCAAAUAUUUUCCUAAGUCUAUGUUCCUUUUAUUUUGGUUCAAAUGUAUAUAGUCAAAUCAAUGUCUUUGUAGAUCCCCCAUCCUCUCAAAGUUUAGAAAUUAUCCCUUUCUGUAUGUUUAAAAUAAUUAAAAUUUAAAAGGUAUCUUCCCAUAGAACUUUUGUAAAUGAGAAAUUUAAAAAUUUCUCCUAUUAAAAAAUUGUUUUAAUCCUUUUGUCUUCUGUUUAUUACAGUAGUGCAUGCUCAUUAGAGAAAGCUUAGAAAAACAUAGAAAAAAAUAAAGAAGAAAAUAAAAAUCAUCUGUAUUCCAAGGACACGAUGUUGGAAAUAUUGUAUUAUAUUUGAGGCUGUGCCCCCGACUCCCAAGAGCACCACACAUGUGUGCGCUCAGAUGGGGCUCAGAGAACAUAAUCAUCAUUGGGAAAUGCAGUUUUAAACCAGGCAUGGUGGCUUAUGCCUGUUAAUCCCAGCACUUUGGGAGGGUGAGGUGGGAAGACUGUUCGAGCCUAGGAGUUUGAGGUCAGCCUGGGCAACAUAAAGAGACCCCAUGUCUACAAAAAAUACAAAAAUUAGCCAGGCGUGGUAGUGGGUGCCUGUGGUCCCAGCUACUCAGGAGGCUGAGGCAGGAGGAUCGCUUGAGCCCAGGAGUUCAAGACUAGCCUGGCAGCAUAUAUGACCCCAUUUCUAGAAAAACAUACAGAAGUAGCCAGGUGGCGUAUGCCUACAAUCCCAUCUACUCAGGAGGCUAAGGCAGAAAAAUCACUUGAUCCCGGAAGUUUGAGGCUACAGUGAGCUGUGAUCGUACCACUGCACUCCAGCCUGGGUGACAGCGUGAGACCGUCUCAAAAAACAAAAAACAAAAAAACCCAUACAGUUUUAUACCCAGCUCUUGACACUGAACGGCAUACUGCAGUCUUCCUGCCUUUCAGUGAAUGACAGGAGAUGUGGGCCCAAAGAGAUGUGUGUUCCAAGCUGCCAAUCAGUUCCGCCAACACCAUAAGAAAUGCUUCUGCAAAGAGGAAGAACAGAUGGUGGAGAAGCCACCAGAGCUGCAGUAAAUGCAAGUCCUGGCUUCACUGCAAGCCACGUCUCUCGGGGUUUGUGUGCCCAAUUUUCUGGACUGUGAGGUGAAGGCUGGAGUAAUUUGGUGCAAGAGGUUGUUAGGAGUAACAUUCAGUAAAAAUCUGAAAUGCAACACCCUGGGCCCCCAUCCAAGAGGCCCGUGGGAGAGGGGCUGAGGGAGGCUCUGGAGUCGCUGCCUCGGGAGUUCUCUGUGCUCUGCCUCCUUGUCUGUGAAACGGGGUCACAGUUCCCACCACACAGGCCGGCUGUGAGGGUAGAUGAGCUGACGGCCCUAAGGCUUGCAGAGCAGCGUCUGGCAUAAAGUGUUUAAUGCCCCGAGUGCACGUCAGCAAUCGCCAGCUUUGUUUUUUGUUUGGUUUUAGAGACAGGGCCUUGCUCUGUUGCCCAGGCUGGAGUGCAGCAGUGCAGUCACAGCUCACUGAAGCUUCGAACUCCUGGGCUCCAGGGAUCCUCCCGCUUCAGCUUCCUGAGUAGCUGGGGCCACAGGCGCACACCACCACGCCUGGCUAACUGUAUUUUAUUUAUUUUUAAAUUUUAGAUUCAGAGGUGCACGUGCGGUUUUUUUCAUCUUUUUGUAGAGAUGAGCUCUUGCCGUGUUGGCCAGGCUGGUCUCGAACUCCUGAGCUCAAGUGAUCCUCCCACUUCAGCCUCCCAAAGUGCUGGGAUUACAGGCGUGAGCCACCACGCCCAGCCAGUAUUUUCUUUUCUAAUUUGGAAACAGUUUUGAAUGCAACUGACAAAGAACAAUUUUGGGUAUUUUUCCAAGUCUCAGGAAAAAAAAGGUGAGUCCCUACCAGGCACAGAGAUUGUGUAAGAACGAUCUUAGCAUCCUCAGAUGCAGAGCACGACCACCCUGGUGCACACAUCCAACAGGAGGCGGGGGCACUCGGAGCUGCAGGCGGGAGCGGGAGGGCCGGGGAGGCAAACGAGGAAGAGCUACCGCGGCGAGUUCACGGCCCGUGGAGCAGCGCGGGCCGUGUGUCCCAAGGCACUAUGGCUGCUGAGCGGACGUCUCCUUAGGGUUCUGCAGUGGAUCUUGCCCCGCGCUGAAGCCCCACUGGGCCACACUGUCCAUCCCAGGAAAAGUGGCUGAUCCGCAGGCUCAAAGAGAACCACAGAAAUGCUGGUCUCAGAGGGGCUGGGGCUAAGGCCCCCAUGUCACACACACAGCACCCAUGCGGCUAGACAUCUAGAUUCUGCAACAAAAUCCAGACGUAUUUAAGAAGCCAGGCUACAAAACAGGCCACGGAAAAGCACACUUUGAAGGUUUCACAUGAAAGCGUGUGCCCGGGCCAAGUGGAAGAGCUGCGUCCCACAGUCUUCAAUGCGAUGCUCCUUAAAAUGCUGCUUCUCCCCAGGCAAGAGUGACUAUUGGGUACUUUUAACAACACGCUUCAGUGAACCACAGCUCAGCUGGUCGGCGCUGGUACCUGCUGAGCACCUGGGGGAGCAGGUGUGUAGCCUGAGUGGGGCCAGGCACGGCACGCCAGCUGUCGGGACGGCUCACCUGACUGUGCGACGCGGUCACCCGCUCCAGGAGGGGACCAAUGUG
RNAcentral lists this long non-coding RNA (4543 nucleotides) under Homo sapiens (human). Its description in RNAcentral is "HSALNT0117649". Lineage: Eukaryota; Metazoa; Chordata; Mammalia; Primates; Hominidae. The record is from RNAcentral.